AUGGGAUGCCAGGCGAGCCGCCGGAUCCUCCUCCUCGCCACCAUAGUCGUCGCCGCCUCACUGCCACCACCCAGCGCGGCGCAGACGGCCAGCUGCGCCGACCUCGCGUUCUCCGGCGGCCGCCUCUACGCGGCAUGCAGCCCGCUGGAGGAGCUGGACGCCAGCGUCCACUGGACAUACCACGCGUCCAACGGCACGGCGGACGUCGCGUUCCGCGUGCCGGGGGGCUCGGCGGGGUGGGCGGCGUGGGCCAUCAACCCGUCCGCGGUCGGCAUGCUCGGCGCCAACACGGUGUUCGCCUACCACAACCCGGCCACCGGGGUGGUGGCGGUCGCGACGGCGGUCGUCGACAGCUACGCCCCCGCGUUCGCGGACGGGGACCUCGCCUUCGCCGUGUACAGGCGCGGCGCGGAGUACACCGACGGCGUGUACGCCAUCCACGCCACAGUCGCGCUGCCGGGGAACAGCACCAGGCAGAACAUCGUCUGGCAGGCCGGCACGUCGUCCCCGGACGGCCUGCCGGAGAGCCACCAGGCGUUCGGGGACAACGUCAUGUCGUCCCGCAGCUGGGACUUCAGGUCGGCCGAGGCGGCGGUCGUCGUCGAUGACGUCCCCGCCGCGCCAAGGGACAGCGUCUACCGCGCACUGCUACGCCCCAAGAAUAUCCAUGGCGUGCUGAAUGCUGUGAGCUGGGGCGUGCUGCUCCCUCUCGGCGUCAUGCUGGCGAGGUACAUGAGGGUGUUCCCAUCGCUCGAUCCGGCAUGGUUCUACCUCCACGUCGCCUGCCAAUGCAGCGGCUACGUGGUCGGGUCGGCCGGCUGGGUCUUCGGCCUCACGCUCGGCAGCCCGGCCAAAGGCGCCCUGCAGCACCAUGGCCACCGCAACAUCGGCACCGCGCUUUUCGUCCUAUCAACGCUUCAGGUUUCUGCCUUGCUGAUCCGCCCUAAGAAGACCGUCAAAGUUCGCUUCUACUGGAACCUGUACCACUGGUCCGUCGGCUACACGGUGGUCGUUCUGGGCGUCGUCAAUGUCUUCAAGGGCAUCGGCAUCCUGCAAGCUGAUCAGAAGUACAGGCACGCCUACCUUGGUGCCGUUCUGGUGCUAGCUGUGGUGGCCUUCGUCUUGGAGCUUGUGACGCUGACGGUCAGGUUCAAGAAGGGCCGGCGGUAA
This 1170-nucleotide ribosomal RNA is filed under the name Triticum aestivum (bread wheat). RNAcentral describes it as "partial small subunit ribosomal RNA". Lineage: Eukaryota; Viridiplantae; Streptophyta; Magnoliopsida; Poales; Poaceae. The record is from RNAcentral.